CAGUCGCCACGGUAAUACGAAGGGGGCUAGCGUUGUUCGGAAUUACUGGGCGUAAAGCGCACGUAGGCGGACAUUUAAGUCAGGGGUGAAAUCCCGGGGCUCAACCCCGGAACUGCCUUUGAUACUGGGUGUCUUGAGUGUGGAAGAGGUCAGUGGAAUUGCGAGUGUAGAGGUGAAAUUCGUAGAUAUUCGCAGGAACACCAGUGGCGAAGGCGGCUGACUGGUCCACAACUGACGCUGAGGUGCGAAAGCGUGGGGAGCAAACAGGAUUAGAUACCCCGGUAGUCCCUGUCUCUUAUAC
Molecule: ribosomal RNA, 301 nt
Filed under: uncultured bacterium
Lineage: Bacteria
Description: partial 16S ribosomal RNA
Rfam family: Bacterial small subunit ribosomal RNA
Source: RNAcentral